AGUGAACGCUGGCGGCAGGCCUAACACAUGCAAGUCGAGCGGCAGCGCGUCCGACCACCCUCGGGUGGUCGGAUGGCGGCGAGCGGCGGACGGGUGAGGAAUGCAUCGGAAUCUGCCUCGUUGUGGGGGAGUAACGUAGGGAAACGUUACGCUAAUACCGCAUACGACCUACGGGUGAAAGUGGGGGACCGUUCGGGCCUCACGCGAUGAGAUGAGCCGAUGCCGGAUUAGCUAGUUGGCGGGGUAAAGGGCCCACCAAGGCGACGAUCCGUAGCUGGUCUGAGAGGAUGAUCAGCCACACUGGAACUGAGACACGGUCCAGACUCCUACGGGAGGGCAGCAGUGGGGGAAUAUUGGACAAAUGGGGGGCGAACCCUGAUCCAGCCAUGCCGCGUGUGUGAAGAAGGCC
This 409-nucleotide ribosomal RNA is filed under the name uncultured bacterium. RNAcentral describes it as "bacterial SSU rRNA". It matches the Rfam family "Bacterial small subunit ribosomal RNA", at positions 30 to 416 of the family's 1533-position model. The record is from RNAcentral.